AUGUCUGCUAUGUCUUUUAAGAAAUGCCCUGUUCCCAUCCCAACACUGACUUCAGAGGUCAGGUGUCCAGAAGUCAAUCUUGUGGGACAGCAAACAUGUUUGGAUCUGCAUUCACCUGGAGCUGCUGGAGUGGAGAGAAAGCUUUGGAAGGACCCGUGGGGGAAAGUGGUAACUCUGAGUUUUGAAGGUUUCUAAGUCAUCUGAAUAUUACCAUGAAUGAAUUCAAUGUUCAAAGCAAAGCAAAAAAUGCC
Molecule: long non-coding RNA, 251 nt
Filed under: Parus major (Great Tit)
Lineage: Eukaryota; Metazoa; Chordata; Aves; Passeriformes; Paridae
Description: lncRNA (ENSPMJG00000012422.1)
Source: RNAcentral